This 82-nucleotide transfer RNA is filed under the name Nocardioidaceae bacterium. RNAcentral describes it as "tRNA-Leu". It matches the Rfam family "tRNA". From Rfam's summary of the family: Transfer RNA (tRNA) molecules are approximately 80 nucleotides in length. Their secondary structure includes four short double-helical elements and three loops (D, anti-codon, and T loops). Lineage: Bacteria; Bacillati; Actinomycetota; Actinomycetes; Propionibacteriales; Nocardioidaceae. RNAcentral also lists the same sequence under 1 other name. The record is from RNAcentral.
GCCGAUGUGGUGGAACUGGUAGACACGCAGGACUUAGGUUCCUGUGCCUUCGGGCGUGCGGGUUCGAGUCCCGCCGUCGGCA